RNAcentral lists this ribosomal RNA (433 nucleotides) under uncultured bacterium. Its description in RNAcentral is "partial 16S ribosomal RNA". It matches the Rfam family "Bacterial small subunit ribosomal RNA", at positions 29 to 507 of the family's 1533-position model. The record is from RNAcentral.
AACGAACGCUGGCGGCAUGCCUAACACAUGCAAGUCGAACGAGACCUUCGGGUCUAGUGGCGCACGGGUGCGUAACGCGUGGGAACCUGCCCUUAGGUUCGGAAUAACUCCCCGAAAGGGGUGCUAAUACCGGAUAAUGUCUUCGGACCAAAGAUUUAUCGCCUUUGGAUGGGCCCGCGUUGGAUUAGCUAGUUGGUAGGGUAAAGGCCUACCAAGGCGACGAUCCAUAGCUGGUCUGAGAGGAUGAUCAGCCACACUGGGACUGAGACACGGCCCAGACUCCUACGGGAGGCAGCAGUGGGGAAUAUUGGACAAUGGGCGAAAGCCUGAUCCAGCAAUGCCGCGUGAGUGAUGAAGGCCUUAGGGUUGUAAAGCUCUUUUACCCGGGAUGAUAAUGACAGUACCGGGAGAAUAAGCGCCGGCUAACUCCGUG